Cryptomeria japonica (Japanese cedar) is the source of this 758-nucleotide long non-coding RNA. RefSeq lists it as uncharacterized. The record is from RefSeq and is a predicted model, not a curated record. NCBI's taxonomy places the organism in Eukaryota, Viridiplantae, Streptophyta, Pinopsida, Cupressales, Cupressaceae. The transcript has 2 exons.
UUCUCCAAGCUGACAGUCAUCCAGUGCAGAUUUGGCCAAUAUUCUUCGUAGUCUUCCAGCUAUGAAGCUAUAAUCAAUGAAUAUCAGCUUCGAUGCAGCCAAAAAAUAGGUCUUCCAGUAAAAUGGCGUUGGACGAGCUUCGAUUAACAUGCUAUGGGCAGCUCAUUAUUUAUGAAUUAUAAAGCAGUUAUGCUCCCAGUCGUAUUCAUGUGCAUACAUAUUAUGGGACUGGACAUCAUGAAAACUUCAGGAUUUGUCCCAAGCUUUUUUCAGGUGGGAACACCACACCGGCAUUUUCCGAAAUUUUUGGGUAGAUGGCCAUCAUCAAAUGGUUUAAGAUUAUCUGUAUCCAACGCCCCUGCUCUUAACCAAUUCACCAAAACCCCAUGCAAAAUGACUCGCCUGUCACCAAAUCGUGUUGUUUCUUUGUCCCAAAUCUCAGCCUACACUUCAGAUGGAUUAGGCACAAAUUUUUUGUCAGUUUUUCGUUGUUUUCAGCUUUCUUGUGUUUUGUACUGAGUGGCGGUCCUGUGAAUUAAUCUUCACUAGACACCUCAGUGAAAUGUGCGAGAGUUUCUUUUAUACAUCAUGUUUAGUUCUAUGCGUCUCGUUUUCUGGGUAUUAGUGAUUUUGUGCUUGGAUCUCCUCCUGUAUGGAUACUGAGCAGAUAUUGAGCACCUAUUCAUAUUUUUUAGUGGAUUUGUAUGACACAGCGUCCUUUUUUCAUCAAUUCUGGAGUCAUUUUAAGCUGAUUUUCA